GCCUUAGUAACGGCGAGUGAAGCGGCAACAGCUCAAAUUUGAAAUCUGGCCCCAGGCCCGAGUUGUAAUUUGCAGAGGAUGCUUUUGGCGCGGUGCCUUCCGAGUUCCCUGGAACGGGACGCCAUAGAGGGUGAGAGCCCCGUCUGGUUGGAUACCAAGCCUUUGUAAAGCUCCUUCGACGAGUCGAGUAGUUUGGGAAUGCUGCUCUAAAUGGGAGGUAUAUGUCUUCUAAAGCUAAAUACCGGCCAGAGACCGAUAGCGCACAAGUAGAGUGAUCGAAAGAUGAAAAGCACUUUGGAAAGAGAGUUAAACAGCACGUGAAAUUGUUAAAAGGGAAGCGUUUAUGACCAGACUUGGGCCGGUUAAUCAUCCAGCGUUCUCGCUGGUGCACUUUGCCGGUCCAGGCCAGCAUCAGUUCGCUGCGGGGGAUAAAGGCGUCGGGAAUGUGGCUCCUCCGGAGUGUUAUAGCCCUUCGCGCAAUACCCUGCGGUGGACUGAGGUUCGCGCAUCUGCAAGGAUGCUGGCGUAAUGGUCAUCAACGACCCGUCUUGAAACACGGACCAAGGAGUCGUCUUCGUAUGCGAGUGUUCGGGUGUAAAACCCCUACGCGUAAUGAAAGUGAACGCAGGUGAGAGCUUCGGCGCAUCAUCGACCGAUCCUGAUGUUCUCGGAUGGAUUUGAGUAAGAGCAUACGGGGCCGGACCCGAAAGAAGGUGAACUAUGCCUGUAUAGGGUGAAGCCAGAGGAAACUCUGGUGGAGGCUCGCAGCGGUUCUGACGUGCAAAUCGAUCGUCAAAUAUGGGCAUGGGGGCGAAAGACUAAU
This 823-nucleotide ribosomal RNA is filed under the name Stachybotrys sp. NZ-2019a. RNAcentral's name for it is "partial large subunit ribosomal RNA". It matches the Rfam family "Eukaryotic large subunit ribosomal RNA", at positions 77 to 935 of the family's 3401-position model. RNAcentral also lists the same sequence under 2 other names. Lineage: Eukaryota; Fungi; Ascomycota; Sordariomycetes; Hypocreales; Stachybotryaceae. The record is from RNAcentral.